CUUCCUGGUCUGGUGCUGAUCGAAGCCCUCGCUGGCUUGCUCGCUCUCCCUGCUGCUGUACGCGAGGAGUCUCCGAAGGGAGCGGAAGCUGCAGAAUUUGCCUUACACUUAAAUGGAAAUGGAAGAUUCUGACCCUAUUUCAUUAGAUGAAGAGAUUUUCACAAAGAAAAACUUUUUCGUCUUGGGGAGGAUAACCGUGAUGAUACUUUACUAAAUUAUGAUUUUUCAGGCCCUCCCUUGACAGCAGGAAAGUUUGAAGAAUUGCAAACAAAGGAUGGUAGUUUACUGGCCAGCGAAGAUGCAGCCCCUGAUGUUUAAGCAAAAGCUGAGGAGGCAUCAGACCCACUGCUAAUGACAGAGUUUGUCCCUCUGACUCCUGUCCCAGGGAUUCAGGGAAGUGUUCUGCAUCACAACUCUCCCAUUCACUGUUUAUUUACAUUGCAUUUACACCCCACCUUUUUCCUCCAAGGAGCUUAAGUUACUGUACAUGGUGCUGCCUCAUUUCAUCCCUGCAACAACCCUGUGAGGUAAGUUAGGCUGAGAGGCAGUGACAGGCUCAAGGAUACACAAUGAGCUUCAUGGCCAAGUAGGGAUUUGAACCCCGGUCUUCCAAAUCCUAGUCUGACAUUCUAACCACCACACCACAUUGCCUCUCCUAAUCCCACAGUUGUUAAGUAGAAUGAUGUUAUGAUUCCAGUACUGAAGUUCAGUGUUGAAGGCUCAGUAGAUAAAGCAAAAAGAGAACUCCCACAUCAUUUCAGGGGAGUUUUUAGAUUUAGCUCAUGCUGAAAUGAUGACAAUAUGUUGUUGGCAUCCAUCUGUCUCAAGAGACAAUGGAGUGAGCCUCUGGGGGUCAAGUCAAACUGCUGUGUUAGCAGCACUGGAGUGACUUCCCAGGGUUGCAAGCCUUGGCAGUGUUUAUGGAAGGUGUUUGGGAUAAGACAGGCUUCCUCAACCUUUGCCCUCCAGAUGUUUUGAGACUACAAUCCCCAUCAUCCCUGACCACUGGUCCUGCUAGCUAGGGAUCAUGGGAGUUGUAGGCCAAAAACAUCUGGAGGGCUAAAGUUGAGGAAGUCUGGGAUAAGACCUCCUUCUCGGUCUUGCUGAUGUGGUCCAAAGGAAAACAGAGCAAUACAUUUGGCACUAGCUUGGCUGCAGGAGUAGCUGGAAGGGGGCAUGCAAGGCUCCAUCCAACCAUAUUAGGGACUCCAGAUUUGUCUAGGGUUUACUCCUUAGCCUUUUCUUCACCCAAAGAUAUCCCAUACAGACCAUAUACAAACCAAUUAACCUAACAUCUACUGAUAAAACACAUAUAUUUCUAAGCCCUAAGUUGCAUCCUCCUAAAACUUCCAGCAAUCCAAACUAGUUAAAAGCUUAGUAUUUUUUUUUUUUUUGGCCAUAUAGCAAUCUAAUCCAAAAUUGCCUUAUAGCUAACAAGUGCUUUAUAGCUAACAAUCCAAGCAGGAAUCUAGGAAACUGCCUUAUGUAGGCUCUGAGGAGAAGCUGCAGAACAUGAAUCCAGCAUAUAGGAUCCAGAAUGGUACCAAUGGGAAAUAAGUUCAUGUAAAAAUAGGGGGAAAUGUUUUAAAUUGGAACAGUAAAGUCUGAGCUUCACAAGGGAAUAAACAGAAUAAACCAAAAUUAAAAGGAUUUUUGGAAGGAACAAAAUGAUAUAAAAACUGUAUAUAGUCAAAACCAUGCAUGCACCAGACGUCUAGACACCAAAAGACUAGCUCAGAAUAAAUUGCGAAAGUAGCUUCUAAAGCUGAAUGAAGGACAUGCUCAAAACAAAAAAAUCCUUCUCUCCGAGAGAAGGCAAAAAGGCAAGCUGGGCUCCAAAGACCUCAACAAGCAAAAAUGUAUUAGAAAACAAAAAUAAAAUCAAGCAAUGUGAGCUCUAGCACUGAGGUAAUCUCUUUUUGAUCCCUCUGCACCUCUUCAUUUUCCUGUCUUCUGGUUCACUCUUUUCUUACUAAAAUUCAUUUCUGUAUUAGUAAAUGACAUCAGGAGCAAA
Podarcis raffonei (Aeolian wall lizard) is the source of this 2014-nucleotide long non-coding RNA. RefSeq lists it as uncharacterized. The transcript is spliced from 2 exons. The record is from RefSeq and is a predicted model, not a curated record. Lineage: Eukaryota; Metazoa; Chordata; Lepidosauria; Squamata; Lacertidae.